GAGGGAAUCUUAGACAAUGGGGGAAACCCUGAUCUAGCCAUGCCGCGUGAGUGACGAAGGUCUUAGGAUCGUAAAGCUCUUUCAACUGUGAAGAUAAUGACGGUAGCAGUAGAAGAAACCCCGGCUAACUCCGUGCCAGCAGCCGCGGUAAUACGGAGGGGGUUAGCGUUGUUCGGAAUUACUGGGCGUAAAGCGCACGUAGGCGGACUAUUAAGUCAGGGGUGAAAUCCCGGGGCUCAACCCCGGAACUGCCUUUGAUACUGGUAGUCUAGAGUUCGAGAGAGGUGAGUGGAAUUCCGAGUGUAGAGGUGAAAUUCGUAGAUAUUCGGAAGAACACCAGUGGCGAAGGCGGCUCACUGGCUCGAUACUGACGCUGAGGUGCGAAAGCGUGGGUAGCAAACAGGAUUAGAUACCCUGGUAGUCCACGCCGUAAACGUUGAAUGCCAGUCGUCAGGGGGCUUGCCCCUUGGUGACACACCUAACGGAGUAAGCAUUCCGCCCGGGGAGUACGGCCGCAAGGUUA
RNAcentral lists this ribosomal RNA (523 nucleotides) under uncultured bacterium. Its description in RNAcentral is "bacterial SSU rRNA". It matches the Rfam family "Bacterial small subunit ribosomal RNA", at positions 355 to 896 of the family's 1533-position model. The record is from RNAcentral.